UACAGAGGGUGCAAGCGUUGUUCGGAAUUAUUGGGCGUAAAGCGCGCGCAGGCGGUCCUUUAAGUCUGAUGUGAAAGCCCACGGCUCAACCGUGGAGGGUCAUUGGAAACUGGGGGACUUGAGUACAGAAGAGAAGAGUGGAAUUCCACGUGUAGCGGUGAAAUGCGUAGAGAUGUGGAGGAACACCAGUGGCGAAGGCGACUCUUUGGUCUGUAACUGACGCUGAGGCGCGAAAGCGUGGGGAGCAAACAGG
This 253-nucleotide ribosomal RNA is filed under the name uncultured bacterium. RNAcentral describes it as "partial 16S ribosomal RNA". It matches the Rfam family "Bacterial small subunit ribosomal RNA", at positions 524 to 776 of the family's 1533-position model. The record is from RNAcentral.